Molecule: non-coding RNA, 139 nt
Filed under: Photorhabdus khanii NC19
Lineage: Bacteria; Pseudomonadati; Pseudomonadota; Gammaproteobacteria; Enterobacterales; Morganellaceae
Source: RNAcentral
CAGCGGGUGCGAAUCCCGCCCGGCAACUUUCGUUCCAGCCGGAAGUAAUCAGAGCAGUCGUGGCGGUAACAAAGCGGCUGAAGCCUCUGGUGUAUAGGAUCAUUUUAGUGAUUCAGCGAGUAUGCAGGCCGUAACGUGA